This 497-nucleotide ribosomal RNA is filed under the name uncultured bacterium. RNAcentral describes it as "partial 16S ribosomal RNA". It matches the Rfam family "Bacterial small subunit ribosomal RNA", at positions 28 to 507 of the family's 1533-position model. The record is from RNAcentral.
GAUGAACGCUGGCGGCGUGCCUAAUACAUGCAAGUCGAGCGAACGGACGAGAAGCUUGCUUCUCUGAUGUUAGCGGCGGACGGGUGAGUAACACGUGGAUAACCUACCUAUAAGACUGGGAUAACUUCGGGAAACCGGAGCUAAUACCGGAUAAUAUUUUGAACCGCAUGGUUCAAAAGUGAAAGACGGUCUUGCUGUCACUUAUAGAUGGAUCCGCGCUGCAUUAGCUAGUUGGUAAGGUAACGGCUUACCGAGGCAACGAUGCAUAGCCGACCUGAGAGGGUGAUCGGCCACACUGGAACUGUGACACGGUCCAGACUCCUACGGGAGGCAGCAGUAGGGAAUCUUCCGCAAUGGGCGAAAGCCUGACGGAGCAACGCCGCGUGAGUGAUGAAGGUCUUCGGAUCGUAAAACUCUGUUAUUAGGGAAGAACAUAUGUGUAAGUAACUGUGCACAUCUUGACGGUACCUAAUCAGAAAGCCACGGCUAACUACGUG